UUUAGUUUCGACCUCGGUUGAGCUGGAGACUCAUCUAACGGCUUUCUCAGCGGCAAGUUCGAAGUCAUGUCGCCUUUGAAUGGUGGGUGGUGCAGCAGUUACGGUCGACUCGGUCAUCGCUCGACUUGCGUCUAAAUUGCGAGUGCAGAAAAUAGUGUUCACGGAAUUAACAGACCUCGAUAAUCCAAGUGUAGGCGAAUAAAUAAGUGAAAUUAUUGUGGCAAGCCAGCAAUAAAUCACUAAAUUAAUAGCACUGCCGAGCACCCGCGGCACACGCACAGCUGUUGUGUGUGAAAAGUGAGAAGAGGAAACAGAAGGAAGUGAAAUUGGCGGCAGUUUGACCGCAACAGCAAUAAAAUACGUCUGCAAUCCACAAACGCACGCUCACAUAUGUACAUCCGUUCGUCAUCGUCAUCGAAUCGUCGUGGUCCUCCGCUUCUCAGUCCCCGCCACCCCACCCCCUUCGGCUCACGAGUCAUUGUGACAUUUGAUUUAUUUGACGUGUGUGUUUUUGAUAGAAGUUCAACACGAAAGCGUCACACAAACACACGUAUGCUCGCCGAGGAAUUUAUUCAGUGAACGAAAAUAAAAUCGCACUGGGCCGCCGUGAAACGAAUACGCCGCCAUCGAUGAGCAGCCGGACGGAAGGCAGAAGUAUCGCCAGGCAGUCCAAUAAUCAAAACUUUGGAAAGCGAGCCGGGGUCCCCAGUAUUCCCGAAAAUGAUGCUGCACGAGGCCGUCAUGCUGGAAAUCUAUCGCCAGGCGCUGAGUGCAAGUGAGCUAACUAGUCCGCGAUGCCAGUCUCGGGAGUCCAACACCUCAGCUGGAGCGGUAGCUGGAACGGGCGAUGUGCGAUGUCCAUCGAAUGAGUCGCAUUGUUCGACCAACGAUCUUUUGACCCCAGCAGCGACGCCCACCCUCGCGCAAACCUGCACUGCUAUCUCCCCGAGCUCGGUGGGACUUCCCCUGACGGCGACCCUUCCUCCUGCAGCUGCAGUUUCUCUGCUACCGCCCCAAUCCGCCGCCAUGGCCGCUUACCUAGCCGCUGCCCAACAAAAUCACCUGCUGCUAACGAAUCCUUUGGCGGCAGCAGCUUCCCUGGUCCAACAUGCAACGCAGCAGGCGGCGGGGCAAGUGAAGGGGGAGUCACCGGCCCUGGAUUUUAGCAGAAAGCGGACUACGAGCGACGGGGACGAUGGUCAGGAAGAGGAUCAGGAACAGGAACAGGACCAAGAGCCCGAGCAAGAUGGCCAGGGCGAUAAUGGUCCUUUAGAUCUAUCUGUAAGCACAGGGAAAAGGCAAGGAUCGGACUCUCCGCCUGCCAGGAAGAUUCCAAGAAGUAUAUCGGCAGAAUACAAGUCCCCUCUACCACCUGGCAGCUGGAUGCCGCCCAUGAACCCAUACUUGGCGGCUGUAGCGGCUAAGACUUGCGGCUUGGGAUACUCUAAGUUGGCACCCAGUGAGGCCAGCAAGGCGCUAGAGAAGAUGAGUGAGAUGAGCCGAUUGGAAACACCACCAGCAGUUGCCCGAAGUUCAGGCGCCACAUCCUCUCUAGGAGCAGUAGUGCCUGGGGGAGGCGGUUCCAACUCCGGUGGCCGGCACAGCGCGUGGCAGUCUCAUUGGCUAAACAAAGGUGCUGAUACUGCUAAGGAUGUGUUUAAGUGUGUGUGGUGCAAGCAAAGCUUUUCAACUUUGGCUAACUUAACUGCCCACAUGAAGGAGACUCAGAAAUGCGGUGUUCAGAUACCUUCGCCGUUACCAACCGGAGAUGUCGGUCCUCCGACUGCUGCUCCUCCCACAAGGUUGGCCACUUCAGCCUCCAACUCGGCCUGUUCCAGCAGCAGCAGCUCCACCUCGAGCUCUUCAAACUCCUCAAAAUCAGAGUUAAAUAUGCUUAUUAAGGAAACUAUGCCCCUUCCCAGAAAACUGGUGAGGGGUCAGGAUGUUUGGCUCGGAAAGGGCGCAGAGCAAACCCGCCAGAUACUUAAGUGCAUGUGGUGUGGACAAAGCUUUCGGUCUCUGGCCGAGAUGACCAGCCACAUGCAGGAGACGCAGCACUACACGAAUAUCAUCUCGCAGGAGCAGAUCAUUUCCUGGAAGUCGGGCGAUGAACGUGAAAGGCCGGCAAACCCUGGAGUUCCAUCAGCAUCCACAGCUGCUUCCCCUUCGGCGAAUGGCACGGCUCCAUCAGUGAGUGCCGUGCUCACGUGUAAAGUUUGUGAUCAGGCCUUCGGUAGCCUAAAGGAGUUAAGCAGCCACAUGGCCCAAAAAUCGCACUACAAGGAGUCACCGGCUCCGUCUGAUUCUCCACCAGCUGCUGGCACUGGCAAUCCGAAAAGGGGAAGGCAAAAUCGCAACGAGAAACGCAAGAAGUCCUUGCCGGUGAGGAAGCUUCUUGAGCUAGAGCGAUCCGGCUCGAAUUGCAGUCUGGACUCGGCGCUAAAGCCCCUGAGGGACUUUGCUGCUGCCACCAAAAUUACCUGUGAAAAGUGUGGCAGUAAGAUUGAAACUGCGUUGUUUGUCGAGCACAUACGAAAGUGUCUGGGCGAAAGUAUUCCAAUACCUCCCCGUCGAUCUAACGUGGGAGUAGAGCGCCAGCCAAGUCCGAGUGUAGGACUAGGAGGUGAAAAAUCGCCAUCAGUCCUAAAUGCAUUGGAGCAGCUCAUAGAGAAGAGCUUUGAAUCGAGAACAAGCAGAACCAUGACACUAGGUGGCUAUUCCGAAGCUGGAACUCCGCUGGGGGCCAGCAUCCUGAAGCGCUUGGGAAUCGAGGACAGCAGUGACUACACCAAGCCUCUAAUGGAAGCCCAGGCGAUGCACCAGCUCCGAUCUUCAUUCGCCUCGCGAGACCGCAGUGCCAGCGAAUCGAGCUCAGCCAGUAGGGUGGAAUCUUCCUACACCCCCGACAGACAGCAGGCCACACCCCGCAUAAGUCCAGAUACUCCUGCUCCGCCGCCUCCUCCUCCACCUUCCACUAUCAAAGCUGAGCCACCAGAGGCGGAACAUUCGGUGGGGGGCGAUCGAGAGGGCUGCAGCCCCCGGCAGCAGAUCCAAGUAAAGAAGGAGUUCAACAUUGAAGCGAGUCGGGAGAGUCCUCGAUCUAUAAGCGAAUCUCCUGCGCCGCAGACUGAAAGAUCUCACACAGAUAGUGGCAGCCUACUGGCCUUGAACUCCAUGUUUGAUCAGCUCAAUGGAGUGGAGAACAGCAGCAACAACAACUCGGGGAAUUGCUUUAACAACAACAAGAACCACAGCAGCAGCAGCAGUAGCGUCUCCGCCCAGAAGCCAAAGUCCCAUCCCCUGGCUGCGCUGCAGAAACUGUGCGAGACAACGGAUCCCCCAGGCACUGGCCCCCGGUGCGGAUCGUCCGCAGGAUCCUCCACCGCAUCUACAACACUUCCCUCAGCGAACGGAAGCGAUAUAGUGGCCUUCAGCUGGGCCAGCAACGAGGCCGUCCUGAGUGCCAGUAAUGGUGGCUCCGGCGGCGAUUCGUCUCUCAUUAAGUGCUCCUACUGUGAUACUCCUUUUGCAUCGAAGGGCGCCUACCGCCACCAUCUCUCCAAGGUGCACUUUGUGAAAGACGCGGGCGAGGACUCUCCCAGACUCAAGUCUCCCUCUGUUCAGAGCCCUAAGUCGAUGCCCUCGGCCUCACCCAGGAGAUCAGCUUCCAGAAGUCCGGCGACAGGAUCUCAGCAGCCCCUUCCCUCUCCCACCAUUAAUCCCUAUGACGAGAGUCCUCAGUCUAAGUUCCUCAAAUACACGGAGCUGGCCAAACAGCUGUCCUCUAAAAACGCCUAGACACGAGCAGAAGCUGUCGGAAUUUCGCAGAACUCUGGAUGCAUUUGGGCAUCGGAGAACUUGUAAAGAAGUUACGUCGCCAAUGAAAAGAGAAGGAGAUUCUACUAGCGAAAGUCUUGGGGACGAACUAAAGCGAAAGGUUCUGGGCUCGGAUUAAACAAAUUCGGUUACAGAUUACAGACGCAUCCUCUCUCUUGAGAAGUUGUUCCCCUUCGUCAGUGACGUCACAGCGAUGCUGGUCUGCUCCUUAUUGUUUCCCAAUCGGACAGUCGCAGUCUGAAGCACGAGCGAGAGAGGACUAUAGUAAGCUGGAAAUUCAAUUACCACCACUUUGACGAACUGCUGUCCAUCAAAGCGAGUUGGACAGGGAUGGCCAUAGUGGCCGAGUGACGAGAGGCGACGACACGAGUUCGUCAAAGUGGGAUUUGAUGGUGGCGAGAGAGACAGGCAUAGCGCAGUGGGUGUGUAUAGAGCAAGAGUGUGAGUGCCACCACUGAGUGUGAGUGGCAAAAAUGGACUUCGUUUUCGAGUGCAUUUGAAUCGGAUUUGAGUGCACUCAGGGAACAAGCCAACCAUUACUUAUUUAUUUAUCCGCUGCUCCUUGUCACAAUGAAUAAAAACAAAAAGGGUGCCAAAAAUCAAAACUGUUUAAAUCUUGAAAGAUACCUAACCAGCUCAAUUGGUUCUUCUAAGCAAUAACAAAACAAAAGCAACGCAGUAUACGUAAAUCCUUACACUUAAACGAUAACCUCAAUGAUAGAACCAAUUAAUGGUUGCGUGCAACUCUUAGCGAUGCACAUGUAGCCCCCAUAUAAAAAAAAUGCAUUAAAUGAAUGUAAAUACGAGCCAAUGGCACUUUCCUUCCAUAAGUCUAAAGAUUACCGAUAUUUACAUAAAUAUAUAGCCACAGCAACGCAUGUAUACGGAAUCAAUUUUAAAAUGGUAUAUUCAUACACAUAUUAAACAAUAUAAAAAGCAAUGUAUAUUAGCAGUUCGAGUCUCAACAAUUACUAAGAACUUUGAAUCUCUAACCUAAGAGUUAAACCUAAGAAGAGGGCAAUAUAUGCAGAAUGUGAAUCAUUUCAUAUUGUCCAAACAAUCACUUUUACAGUCUCUCUUCGGGAUAAUUUAUAUCUAUGAUAUAUGGUGAAUAAUAGUUACUAACUAUGUAUACGAAUUGUAUUUUAGUUUUUGUGAUAUUAUUUUUAAUCAAACCAGUUCGCUUCCCCCCUGCCACGCACCGCAACAUCCCUUGUAUUUCCUGCAAGACCUCACCCUUUCCCCUCCCCAGCAGAUUACUCGCUUUAGUUAUACAAACGCAAUAAAGGCAGUAUUCAGAAUAGAA
Drosophila santomea is the source of this 5143-nucleotide RNA transcript. It is a transcript of the gene named protein tiptop, with no coding region annotated. The record is from RefSeq and is a predicted model, not a curated record. The transcript has 4 exons. NCBI's taxonomy places the organism in Eukaryota, Metazoa, Arthropoda, Insecta, Diptera, Drosophilidae.